This 72-nucleotide transfer RNA is filed under the name Nocardia sp. Its description in RNAcentral is "tRNA-Gln". It matches the Rfam family "tRNA". Rfam says of the family: Transfer RNA (tRNA) molecules are approximately 80 nucleotides in length. Their secondary structure includes four short double-helical elements and three loops (D, anti-codon, and T loops). Further hydrogen bonds mediate the characteristic L-shaped molecular structure. tRNAs have two regions of fundamental functional importance: the anti-codon, which is responsible for specific mRNA codon recognition, and the 3' end, to which the tRNAs corresponding amino acid is attached (by aminoacyl-tRNA synthetases). tRNAs cope with the degeneracy of the genetic code in two manners: having more than one tRNA (with a specific anti-codon) for a particular amino acid; and 'wobble' base-pairing, i.e. permitting non-standard base-pairing at the 3rd anti-codon position. The record is from RNAcentral. Lineage: Bacteria; Bacillati; Actinomycetota; Actinomycetes; Mycobacteriales; Nocardiaceae.
UCCUCCGUGGUGUAAUUGGCAGCACGACUGAAUCUGGUUCAGUCGGUCUGGGUUCGAAUCCUGGCGGAGGAA